Molecule: ribosomal RNA, 965 nt
Filed under: Shigella sonnei
Lineage: Bacteria; Pseudomonadati; Pseudomonadota; Gammaproteobacteria; Enterobacterales; Enterobacteriaceae
Description: bacterial SSU rRNA
Rfam family: Bacterial small subunit ribosomal RNA
Source: RNAcentral
UUCAUCUGGCUCAGAUUGAACGCUGGCGGCAGGCCUAACACAUGCAAGUCGAACGGUAACAGGAAACAGCUUGCUGUUUUGCUGACGAGUGGCGGACGGGUGAGUAAUGUCUGGGAAACUGCCUGAUGGAGGGGGAUAACUACUGGAAACGGUAGCUAAUACCGCAUAACGUCGCAAGACCAAAGAGGGGGACCUUCGGGCCUCUUGCCAUCGGAUGUGCCCAGAUGGGAUUAGCUAGUAGGUGGGGUAACGGCUCACCUAGGCGACGAUCCCUAGCUGGUCUGAGAGGAUGACCAGCCACACUGGAAUUGAGACACGGUCCAGAUUCUUACGGGAGGCAGCAGUGGGGAAUAUUGCCCAAUGGGCGCAAGCCUGAUGCAGCCAUGCCGCGUGUAUGAAGAAGGCCUUCGGGUUGUAAAGUACUUUCAGCGGGGAGGAAGGGAGUAAAGUUAAUACCUUUGCUCAUUGACGUUUCCCGCAGAAGAAGCACCGGCUAAUUCCGUGCCAGCAGCCGCGGUAAUACGGAGGGUGCAAGCGUUAAUCGGAAUUACUGGGCGUAAAGCGCACGCAGGCGGUUUGUUAAUUCAGAUGUGAAAUCCCCGGGUUCAACCUGGGAACUGCAUCUGAUACUGGCAAGCUUGAGUCUGGUAGAGGGGGGUAGAAUUCCAGGUGUAGCGGUGAAAUGCGUAGAGAUUUGGAGGAAUACCGGUGGGGAAGGCGGCCCCCUGGACGAAGACUGACGCUCAGGUGCGAAAGCGUGGGGAGCAACCAGGAUUAGAUACCCUGGUAGUCCACGCCGUAAACGAGGUCGACUUGGAGGUUAGUGCUCCUUGACGGCGUGGCUUCUCGGAGCUAACGCGUUAAGUCGUCCCGGCCUGGGAUCGCCGCCCCCAUGGUUAAAACUCAAAGGAAUUUGACAGAAAAACCCGCACAAGCGGGGGUAACAUGUGGUUUUAACUUCGAUG